AAAUCGAACGGCAGCUCGGGGAGCAAUCCUGGUGGCGAGUGGCGAACGGGUGAGUAAAUACAUCGGAACGUGCCCAAUCGUGGGGGAUAACGCAGCGAAAGCUGUGCUAAUCCGCAUACGAUCUACGGAUGAAAGCAGGGGAUCGCAAGACCUUGCGCGAAUGGAGCGGGCCGAUGGCAGAUUAGGUAGUUGGUGAGGUAAAGGCUCACCAAGCCGUCGAUCUGUAGCUGGUCUGAGAGGACGACCAGCCACACUGGGACUGAGACACGGCCCAGACUCCUACGGGAGGCAGCAGUGGGGAAUUUUGGACAAUGGGCGAAAGCCUGAUCCAGCCAUGCCGCGUGCAGGAUGAAGGCCUUCGGGUUGUAAACUGCUUUUGUACGGAACGAAACGGCCUUUUCUAAUAAAGAGGGCUAAUGACGGUACCGUAAGAAUAAGCACUGGCUAACUACGUGCCAGCAGCCGCGGUAAUACGUAGGGUGCAAGCGUUAAUCGGAAUUACUGGGCGUAAAGCGUGCGCAGGCGGUUAUGUAAGACAGUUGUGAAAUCCCCGGGCUCAACCUGGGAACUGCAUCUGUGACUGCAUAGCUAGAGUACGGUAGAGGGGGAUGGAAUUCCGCGUGUAGCAGUGAAAUGCGUAGAUAUGCGGAGGAACACCGAUGGCGAAGGCAAUCCCCUGGACCUGUACUGACGCUCAUGCACGAAAGCGUGGGGAGCAAACAGG
Molecule: ribosomal RNA, 724 nt
Filed under: Variovorax paradoxus
Lineage: Bacteria; Pseudomonadati; Pseudomonadota; Betaproteobacteria; Burkholderiales; Comamonadaceae
Description: bacterial SSU rRNA
Rfam family: Bacterial small subunit ribosomal RNA
Source: RNAcentral